GACGAACGCUGGCGGCGUGCUUAACACAUGCAAGUCGAACGGAAAGGCCCUGCUUUUGUUGGGUGCUCGAGUGGCGAACGGGUGAGUAACACGCGAGUAACCUGCCCUUGACUUUGGGAUAACUUCAGGAAACUGGGGCUCAUACCGGAUAGGAGCUCCUGCUGCAUGGUGGGGGUUGGAAAGUUUCGGCGGUUGGGGAUGGACUCGCGGCUUAUCAGCUUGUUGGUGGGGUAGUGGCUUACCAAGGCUUUGACGGGUAGCCGGCCUGAGAGGGUGACCGGCCACAUUGGGACUGAGAGAGGGCGCAGACGCCUAAGGGAGGCAGCAGUGGAGAAUAUUGCACAAUGGGCGGAAGCCAGAUGCAGCAACGCCGCGUGCGGGAUGCCGGCCUUCGGGUUGUAAACCGCUUUCGCCUGUGACGAAGCGGGAGUGACGGUAAUGGGUAAAGAAGCACCGGCUAACUACGUG
This 468-nucleotide ribosomal RNA is filed under the name uncultured bacterium. RNAcentral's name for it is "partial 16S ribosomal RNA". It matches the Rfam family "Bacterial small subunit ribosomal RNA", at positions 28 to 507 of the family's 1533-position model. The record is from RNAcentral.